AUUCCAGCUCCAAUAGCGUAUAUUAAAGUUGUUGCAGUUAAAAAGCUCGUAGUUGAAUUUCUGUACAGUCCCGGUUCUGGCUUCGGUCAAGCCGUGGAUUGUGCAUCCGCUUGCAAAUCUAGCUCGGCCUUCACUGGUCGACUAGGGGAGUAAGCCCUUUACUUUGAAAAAAUUAGAGUGUUUCAGGCAGGCAGUGGCUCGAAUACAUUAGCAUGGAAUAAUGGAAUAGGACUUUUGUCCAUUUGGUUGGUUAUUGGACAUGAGUAAUGAUUAAAAGGGACAGUUGGGGGCAUUAGUAUUUAAUAGUCAGAGGUGAAAUUCUUGGAUUUAUUAAAGACUAACUUAUGCGAAAGCAUUUGCCAAGGAUGUUUUCAUUA
This 377-nucleotide ribosomal RNA is filed under the name Parauronema sp. RNAcentral's name for it is "partial small subunit ribosomal RNA". It matches the Rfam family "Eukaryotic small subunit ribosomal RNA", at positions 582 to 975 of the family's 1831-position model. The record is from RNAcentral. Lineage: Eukaryota; Ciliophora; Oligohymenophorea; Philasterida; Philasteridae.